AACCAUAGAAACCUGCGGAGUACCUGCGGAAGGAUCAUUACACAAUAAACAUAUGAAGGCUGCACCGCCAACAGGCGGCAAGGCUGGAGUAUUUUAUUACCCUUGUCUUUUGCGCACUUGUUGUUUCCUGGGCGGGUUCGCCCGCCUCCAGGACCACAUGAUAAACCUUUUUUAUGCAGUUGCAAUCAGCGUCAGUACAACAAAUGUAAAUCAUUUACAACUUUCAACAACGGAUCUCAG
This 240-nucleotide unclassified non-coding RNA is filed under the name soil metagenome. Its description in RNAcentral is "partial contains 5.8S ribosomal RNA, internal transcribed spacer 2, and large subunit ribosomal RNA". The record is from RNAcentral.